This 492-nucleotide ribosomal RNA is filed under the name uncultured bacterium. Its description in RNAcentral is "partial 16S ribosomal RNA". It matches the Rfam family "Bacterial small subunit ribosomal RNA", at positions 29 to 507 of the family's 1533-position model. The record is from RNAcentral.
AGUGAACGCUGGCGGUAGGCCUAACACAUGCAAGUCGAACGGCAGCACAGUAAGAGCUUGCUCUUACGGGUGGCGAGUGGCGGACGGGUGAGGAAUACAUCGGAAUCUACUUUUUCGUGGGGGAUAACGUAGGGAAACUUACGCUAAUACCGCAUACGACCUACGGGUGAAAGCAGGGGAUCUUCGGACCUUGCGCGAUUGAAUGAGCCGAUGUCGGAUUAGCUAGUGGGCGGGGUAAAGGCCCACCAAGGCGACGAUCCGUAGCUGGUCUGAGAGGAUGAUCAGCCACACUGGAACGUGGACACGGUCCAGACUCCUACGGGAGGCAGCAGUGGGGAAUAUUGGACAAUGGUCGCAAGCCUUAUCCAGCCAUACCGCGUGGGUGAAGAAGGCCUUCGGGUUGUAAAGCCCUUUUGUUGGGAAAGAAAAGCAGCAGGUUAAUACCCCGCUGUUCUGACGGUACCCAAAGAAUAAGCACCGGCUAACUUCGUG